GUCCACGCCGUAAACGAUGUCUACUAGCCGUUGGGAGGCUUGACCUCUUAGUGGCGAAGCCAACGCGAUAAGUAGACCGCCUGGGGAGUACGGUCGCAAGAUUAAAACUCAAAUGAAUUGACGGGGGCCCGCACAAGCGGUGGAGCAUGUGGUUUAAUUCGAUGCAACGCGAAAAACCUUACCAGGCCUUGACAUCCUGAGAACUUUCUAGAGAUAGAUCGGUGCCUUCGGGAACUCAGUGAC
Molecule: ribosomal RNA, 243 nt
Filed under: uncultured bacterium
Lineage: Bacteria
Description: partial 16S ribosomal RNA
Rfam family: Bacterial small subunit ribosomal RNA
Source: RNAcentral